CGCUGGCGGCAUGCCUUACACAUGCAAGUCGAACGGCAGCACGCCUGCUUGCACCUGGUGGCGAGUGGCGAACGGGUGAGUAAUACAUCGGAACAUGUCCUGUAGUGGGGGAUAGCCCGGCGAAAGCCGGAUUAAUACCGCAUACGAUCUACGGAUGAAAGCGGGGGACCUUCGGGCCUCGCGCUAUAGGGUUGGCCGAUGGCUGAUUAGCUAGUUGGUGGGGUAAAGGCCCACCAAGGCGACGAUCAGUAGCUGGUCUGAGAGGACGACCAGCCACACUGGGACUGAGACACGGCCCAGACUCCUACGGGAGGCAGCAGUGGGGAAUUUUGGACAAUGGGCGAAAGCCUGAUCCAGCAAUGCCGCGUGUGUGAAGAAGGCCUUCGGGUUGUAAAGCACUUUUGUCCGGAAAGAAAUCCUGAGGGCUAAUAUCCUUCGGGGAUGACGGUACCGGAAGAAUAAGCACCGGCUAACUACGUGCCAGCAGCCGCGGUAAUACGUAGGGUGCGAGCGUUAAUCGGAAUUACUGGGCGUAAAGCGUGCGCAGGCGGUUUGUUAAGACCGAUGUGAAAUCCCCGGGCUCAACCUGGGAACUGCAUUGGUGACUGGCAAGCUAGAGUAUGGCAGAGGGGGGUAGAAUUCCACGUGUAGCAGUGAAAUGCGUAGAGAUGUGGAGGAAUACCGAUGGCGAAGGCAGCCCCCUGGGCCAAUACUGACGCUCAUGCACGAAAGCGUGGGGAGCAAACAGGAUUAGAUACCCUGGUAGUCCACGCCCUAAACGAUGUCAACUAGUUGUUGGGGAUUCAUUUCCUUAGUAACGUAGCUAACGCGUGAAGUUGACCGCCUGGGGAGUACGGUCGCAAGAUUAAAACUCAAAGGAAUUGACGGGGACCCGCACAAGCGGUGGAUGAUGUGGAUUAAUUCGAUGCAACGCGAAAAACCUUACCUACCCUUGACAUGGUCGGAACCUUGGAGAGAUC
RNAcentral lists this ribosomal RNA (980 nucleotides) under uncultured bacterium. RNAcentral's name for it is "bacterial SSU rRNA". It matches the Rfam family "Bacterial small subunit ribosomal RNA", at positions 34 to 1008 of the family's 1533-position model. The record is from RNAcentral.